This is a long non-coding RNA of Podarcis muralis (Common wall lizard), 1421 nucleotides long. RefSeq lists it as uncharacterized. Lineage: Eukaryota; Metazoa; Chordata; Lepidosauria; Squamata; Lacertidae. The record is from RefSeq and is a predicted model, not a curated record.
GAAGAGGGAAACCAGAAGAGCUGGCACCAGGAACAUUAAAGAAAAUAAUGACAGAAGUUCUGUGGCCUUGAUGUGACCCAUGGGCUGCCUGUUGAAAACCAUAAAUGACAAAUUGUACUGGCAAGAAGUUCCAUGGAAGCCAAUAAGAUUGAAGUGACGGCUGAACAACAUCUCCAGGAAGUAAGAUUAACUUGCAGACCAGAACUCCAUCACCACCACCACCUCUCUCCAAACAAUUUUUCACAUAAGGGGAAAGAUGAGCUCAUUUUUCCUCCCUGUACUCAGCAUCACAGCCUGAAGAGCAAUGAUCAGGAGAUCAGGAGAUCAGGACUGUGACUGCUUACUUUCUCUUAAUAUCUUAAUUGCCUGAUUAUGCAUCAUGACAGUUUAGCCCUGCGAGCACAUUCCUUCUGCCUUUAUUCACAGUGUGCCACCUUUCUCUGCAAGCCUGUGAAAGCAAAAUAAGAGAGAAGCAGUUUAAGAAGAGAGAUGCUAAGAGAUGGGAAGGAUAAGCAGAGAAUUGAUAUGCAAAAGCACAAGGUUAUCCAGUGUUUGACCUUAUUGAUCAUUUUUUGUCUCAAGCAUUUAUUUUCCCCUGGUUGCUCAACUCAUUCCAAGGAUUCUUACAUAAAGCUUGUCAUUCAUCCCAUUCUUACGAUAAAGCCUAUUGUCCCUCCUUUCUUCGUUCCCUAGUGGAUACAACCUAAAGUCUACUUGCCCUUGAACACCAGCUGUUCUAAAGCUGAGAUAUGCCUUCACUAUUUUCUGAGCUCAGUCAUUUUAGAUGCUCCACAACAGGCAAAUAAUACCAAAAGAGCCAAAAAUGGCAAAAGGAGACAUUUCAGAGGAGGAGUUACACUUUCAAUAGCAUCACUGCACACACACACACCCUGCACACACUACGCUGGUUUUGCAGAGGUAAGCAUGCUGAAAGCUGAUAAAAUCACUAGGUCUACUCUGUGCACUGUAACCAUAGACUUCAUCUUGUCUUAGUGAGAUGAUUGUAAGAGUCAUAUGCCACGAAUGAUCCAUGGAAUCCCUUCAAGUUAUUUGAUCCUAGUAUUGCACAAUUCCAUAGCAGAGAGAGAUUGCAAGAUUAGUUUUUUGGAAAACUAAUGAAUAUUCUUUCAAAUACUUCAUUUCAACUGGGCCCAUUCAGAAUUGAACCAGGAGCAUUUUGCUCUCAGUAGUUUGAGAACUUAAGGGUGGUAUAGAUUCUUCCAUCAGUGUAUAGUACCUGCAUGAGUCUUCCUAACCUACAUGCAUUGCCUAUCAGUAGGGAACUCCUAGACCAUAUGAGGCCCAAACCAGUUCAGAGAACCUCUGCAUCACCCUCUAGUUUCUACAACCCUAGAUUUCCUUCAAAUGGCCUUGUGUUUUUUCCACAUGGUGGUCACCAGCAACCAGUAAUAACAACAACA